AUUGAACGCUGGCGGCAUGCCUUACACAUGCAAGUCGAACGGUAACGCGGGGCAACCUGGCGACGAGUGGCGAACGGGUGAGUAACGCAUCGGAACGUGCCCAGUAGUGGGGGAUAGCCCGGCGAAAGCCGGAUUAAUACCGCAUACGACCUACGGGUGAAAGAGGGGGAUCGCAAGACCUCUCGCUAUUGGAGCGGCCGAUGUCAGAUUAGGUAGUUGGUGGGGUAAAGGCCUACCAAGCCUACGAUCUGUAGCUGGUCUGAGAGGACGACCAGCCACACUGGGACUGAGACACGGCCCAGACUCCUACGGGAGGCAGCAGUGGGGAAUUUUGGACAAUGGGCGCAAGCCUGAUCCAGCCAUGCCGCGUGCGGGAAGAAGGCCUUCGGGUUGUAAACCGCUUUUGUCAGGGAAGAAACGCUCUGGACUAAUACUCUGGGGUAAUGACGGUACCUGAAGAAUAAGCACCGGCUAACUACGUGCCAGCCGCCGCGGUAA
This 498-nucleotide ribosomal RNA is filed under the name uncultured bacterium. RNAcentral describes it as "partial 16S ribosomal RNA". It matches the Rfam family "Bacterial small subunit ribosomal RNA", at positions 29 to 523 of the family's 1533-position model. The record is from RNAcentral.